Molecule: ribosomal RNA, 427 nt
Filed under: uncultured Lysobacterales bacterium
Lineage: Bacteria; Pseudomonadati; Pseudomonadota; Gammaproteobacteria; Lysobacterales
Description: bacterial SSU rRNA
Rfam family: Bacterial small subunit ribosomal RNA
Source: RNAcentral
AGUGGGGAAUAUUGGACAAUGGGGGCAACCCUGAUCCAGCGACGCCGCGUGUGUGAAGAAGGCCUGCGGGUUGUAAAGCACUUUUAGUGGGGAUGAAAAGCCAAGGGUUAAUACCCUUUGGUCUUGACCUAACCCAAAGAAAAAGCACCGGCUAACUCUGUGCCAGCAGCCGCGGUAAUACAGAGGGUGCAAGCGUUAAUCGGAAUUACUGGGCGUAAAGCGUGCGUAGUCGGCUACUCAAGUCGGGUGUGAAAGCCCCGGGCUCAACCUGGGAAUUGCAUUCGAUACUGUGUGGCUAGAGUUCGGCAGAGGGAAGUGGAAUUUCCGGUGUAGCGGUGAAAUGCGUAGAUAUCGGAAGGAACAUCAGUGGCGAAAGCGACUUCCUGGACCAGAACUGACGAUCAGGCACGAAAGCGUGGGGAGCAAA